Molecule: long non-coding RNA, 316 nt
Filed under: Coffea arabica (coffee)
Lineage: Eukaryota; Viridiplantae; Streptophyta; Magnoliopsida; Gentianales; Rubiaceae
Description: long non-coding RNA (CARA_LNC003735)
Source: RNAcentral
GAUAUUUUGCAUUUCUAGGUGAGUGUUCCUUAUUUGACUUUAUGGCUUGUUGUUAUCAUUUGCUAAUGUGUUAAUUGCUUUUAAUGAUUUCCAAAACGAGCUUUCUAGGCGAGUGUGUACUUUAUCGCACUCGACCUAAAUAACUGUGCAAUUUUCAAGGAUUUAAUGAUUGAAAUGUUACUUGCGCAUGAAUGUAAGCCUUUUGGGCUGAACUGCCCAUUGCCCCUUGUUACCGGUCGUCUCGAGCCAGAAGCGGACUCGGUCGGGCGAUUAGGGACUUGGGUGAACGUUUGGUAUACUCGAGUAUUACUCUGUA